RNAcentral lists this ribosomal RNA (301 nucleotides) under uncultured bacterium. RNAcentral describes it as "partial 16S ribosomal RNA". It matches the Rfam family "Bacterial small subunit ribosomal RNA", at positions 509 to 807 of the family's 1533-position model. The record is from RNAcentral.
CAGUAGCCACGGUAAUACGUAGGUGGCAAGCGUUGUCCGGAAUUAUUGGGCGUAAAGCGCGCGCAGGUGGUUUAAUAAGUCUGAUGUGAAAGCCCACGGCUCAACCGUGGAGGGUCAUUGGAAACUGUUAAACUUGAGUGCAGGAGAGAAAAGUGGAAUCCCUAGUGUAGCGGUGAAAUGCGUAGAGAUUAGGAGGAACACCAGUGGCGAAGGCGGCUUUUUGGCCUGUAACUGACACUGAGGCGCGAAAGCGUGGGGAGCAAACAGGAUUAGAUACCCGCGUAGUCCCUGUCUCUUAUAC